GACGAACGCUGGCGGCGUGCUUAACACAUGCAAGUCGAACGGAAAGGCCCUGCUUUUGUGGGGUGCUCGAGUGGCGAACGGGUGAGUAACACGUGAGUAACCUGCCCUUGACUUUGGGAUAACUUCAGGAAACUGGGGCUAAUACCGGAUAGGAGCUCCUGUUGCAUGGUGGGGGUUGGAUAGUUUCGGCGGUUGGGGAGGGACUCGCGGCUUAUCGGCUUGUUGGUGGGGUAGUGGCUUACCAAGGCUUUGACGGGUAGCCGGCCUGAGAGGGUGACCGGCCACAGUGGGACUGAGAUACGGCCCAGACUCCUACGGGAGGCAGCAGUGGGGAAUAUUGCACAAUGGGCGGAAGCCUGAUGCAGCAACGCCGCGUGCGGGAUGACGGCCUUCGGGUUGUAAACCGCUUUCGCCUGUGGCGAAGCGUGAGUGACGGUAAUGGGUAAAGAAGCACCGGCUAACUACGUG
RNAcentral lists this ribosomal RNA (468 nucleotides) under uncultured bacterium. Its description in RNAcentral is "partial 16S ribosomal RNA". It matches the Rfam family "Bacterial small subunit ribosomal RNA", at positions 28 to 507 of the family's 1533-position model. The record is from RNAcentral.